Molecule: ribosomal RNA, 583 nt
Filed under: uncultured bacterium
Lineage: Bacteria
Description: partial 16S ribosomal RNA
Rfam family: Bacterial small subunit ribosomal RNA
Source: RNAcentral
UGGGGAAUUUUGGACAAUGGGCGAAAGCCUGAUCCAGCAAUGCCGCGUGUGUGAAGAAGGCCUUCGGGUUGUAAAGCACUUUUGUCCGGAAAGAAAUCCUUGGCUCUAAUACAGUCGGGGGAUGACGGUACCGGAAGAAUAAGCACCGGCUAACUACGUGCCAGCAGCCGCGGUAAUACGUAGGGUGCAAGCGUUAAUCGGAAUUACUGGGCGUAAAGCGUGCGCAGGCGGUUGCUAAGACCGAUGUGAAAUCCCCGGGCUCAACCUGGGAACUGCAUUGGUGACUGGCAGGCUAGAGUAUGGCAGAGGGGGGUAGAAUUCCACGUGUAGCAGUGAAAUGCGUAGAGAUGUGGAGGAAUACCGAUGGCGAAGGCAGCCCCCUGGGCCAAUACUGACGCUCAUGCACGAAAGCGUGGGGAGCAAACAGGAUUAGAUACCCUGGUAGUCCACGCCCUAAACGAUGUCAACUAGUUGUUGGGGAUUCAUUUCCUUAGUAACGUAGCUAACGCGUGAAGUUGACCGCCUGGGGAGUACGUCGCAAGAUUAAAACUUAAAUGAAUUGACGGGGUCAUAGCUGUUUCCU